RNAcentral lists this microRNA (20 nucleotides) under Gorilla gorilla (western gorilla). Its description in RNAcentral is "ggo-miR-376c". Its record names the gene ggo-miR-376c. The record is from miRBase by way of RNAcentral. Lineage: Eukaryota; Metazoa; Chordata; Mammalia; Primates; Hominidae. RNAcentral also lists the same sequence under 1 other name.
AACAUAGAGGAAAUUCCACG